UCACCUCCCGAUGCUUAGAGCAGAGUGCAGGCCUUUAAGGAACACGGUUUGCAGUGAUUGUCCCAUCCAGGAAAAGGGGUGAUGUUAAAGUUCUCCAGAUACAUUUACAGCUAUGACACUGAAAUACUUUAACCUUAGUGGCUUAUCUCAGAGGCCUGGGGAAGGGGGAAACAGCAGAUCCCAGUUUUGCCCUUGGUAUCUUUUCCAUGUGUCCUGCAGUUGGGAUUUAUAUCAUAAUCGGUGAGGAAUGGUUGCAGUAUGUGCAGAGCCAGGCACAUCCCUCCUUGCUUUCCCAAGAGGCUUAAAAAUGUGGUAGAUUUAAUCUAGAU
RNAcentral lists this long non-coding RNA (329 nucleotides) under Bos taurus (domestic cattle). RNAcentral's name for it is "long non-coding RNA NONBTAT005006". The record is from RNAcentral. Lineage: Eukaryota; Metazoa; Chordata; Mammalia; Artiodactyla; Bovidae.